RNAcentral lists this transfer RNA (74 nucleotides) under Hydrogenibacillus sp. RNAcentral's name for it is "tRNA-Arg". It matches the Rfam family "tRNA". From Rfam's summary of the family: Transfer RNA (tRNA) molecules are approximately 80 nucleotides in length. Lineage: Bacteria; Bacillati; Bacillota; Bacilli; Thermicanales; Thermicanaceae. The record is from RNAcentral.
GGUCCCGUAGCUCAGCUGGAUAGAGCCGCAGCCUCCUAAGCUGUGGGUCGGAGGUUCGAGUCCUGGGACCGCCA